UACCAGCACCCCGAGUGGUCGGGACGAUUAUUGGGCCUAAAGCAUCCGUAGCCGGUUCUGCAAGUCUCCCGUUAAAUCCAACUGCCCAACAGGUGGGCUGCGGAGGAUACUACAGAGCUAGGGGGCAGGAGAGGCAAGCGGUACUCAGUGGGUAGGGGUAAAAUCCGUUGAUCCAUUGAAGACCACCAGUGGCGAAGGCGGCUUGCCAGAAUGCGCUCGACGGUGAGGGAUGAAAGCUGGGGGAGCAAACCGG
This 253-nucleotide ribosomal RNA is filed under the name uncultured bacterium. RNAcentral describes it as "partial 16S ribosomal RNA". It matches the Rfam family "Archaeal small subunit ribosomal RNA", at positions 474 to 727 of the family's 1478-position model. The record is from RNAcentral.